GGUUAAGUUACAAAGGGCGCACGGUGGAUGCCUUGGCACUAGGAGCCGAUGAAGGACGGAACUAAUACCGAUAUGCUUCGGGGAGCUAUAAGUAAGCUUUGAUCCGGAGAUUUCCGAAUGGGGGAACCCAGUACACAUCAGUGUAUUGCUUGUCAGUGAAUACAUAGNUGGCCGGCGGCAGACGCGGGAACUGAAACAUCUCAGUACCCGCAGNAAGAGAAAGAAAACUCUGAUUCCCAUAGUAGCGGCGAGCGAAGUGGGAAGAGCCCAAACCGAGAAGCUUGCUUCUCGGGGUUGUAGGACUGGACAUUGGAGUUACCAAAGUCCNANGUAGUAGAAGUCAGCUGGAAAGCUGCGCCACAGAAGGUGAAAGCCCUGUAAGCGAAACGUCUGAACCCUCCGUCCAGGAUCCUGAGUACGGCGGAACACGUGAAAUUCCGUCGGAAUCCGGGAGGACCAUCUCCCAAGGCU
RNAcentral lists this ribosomal RNA (471 nucleotides) under Lacticaseibacillus paracasei. RNAcentral describes it as "bacterial LSU rRNA". It matches the Rfam family "Bacterial large subunit ribosomal RNA", at positions 1 to 467 of the family's 2925-position model. The record is from RNAcentral. Lineage: Bacteria; Bacillati; Bacillota; Bacilli; Lactobacillales; Lactobacillaceae.